This 72-nucleotide transfer RNA is filed under the name Aponsila sp. FS-2019. Its description in RNAcentral is "tRNA-Ala". It matches the Rfam family "tRNA". Rfam says of the family: Transfer RNA (tRNA) molecules are approximately 80 nucleotides in length. Their secondary structure includes four short double-helical elements and three loops (D, anti-codon, and T loops). The record is from RNAcentral. Lineage: Eukaryota; Metazoa; Arthropoda; Insecta; Hemiptera; Plataspidae.
GGGGUUGUAGUUAAAAAUAAUAACAUUUAAUUUGCAAUUAAAAAUUACUAAAUUUUAUCUUAGUCAUCCUCA